CCUGCCUCUAGAGUUGCAGGUGUAGCUGCUGUGUCACAUCUGUGUCAGUGGGUGGCAGAGAGAAAAAAGGCUACAUCUGAGCUCAGUGUUCUGACUUAUGAACAUCUGAAGGAUUAGUAGCCUAACAUU
Molecule: small nucleolar RNA, 129 nt
Organism: Psammomys obesus (fat sand rat)
Lineage: Eukaryota; Metazoa; Chordata; Mammalia; Rodentia; Muridae
Product: small nucleolar RNA SNORA17
Exons: 1
Source: RefSeq, a predicted model, not a curated record